This is a long non-coding RNA of Myripristis murdjan (pinecone soldierfish), 90 nucleotides long. RefSeq lists it as uncharacterized. The record is from RefSeq and is a predicted model, not a curated record. The transcript has 3 exons. NCBI's taxonomy places the organism in Eukaryota, Metazoa, Chordata, Actinopteri, Holocentriformes, Holocentridae.
AUGUGUGUGUGUGUGUGUGUGUGUGUGUGUGUGUGUCAACGUCGGCUUGUGUCUGCAUGUGGAGGAAUAGCUGUCCUUAUCUGGCCUCCU